CACUGUACAGCUGCCACAGCAUUAACCUUUUAAGUUAAAGAUUGAGAAAACACCUUUCUCUGUAGUGA
Molecule: transfer RNA, 68 nt
Filed under: Simias concolor (Simakobou)
Lineage: Eukaryota; Metazoa; Chordata; Mammalia; Primates; Cercopithecidae
Description: tRNA-Lys
Source: RNAcentral